RNAcentral lists this ribosomal RNA (305 nucleotides) under uncultured bacterium. Its description in RNAcentral is "bacterial SSU rRNA". It matches the Rfam family "Bacterial small subunit ribosomal RNA", at positions 333 to 656 of the family's 1533-position model. The record is from RNAcentral.
GUCAUCCUACGGGAGGCAGCAGUGGGGAAUAUUGCACAAUGGGCGAAAGCCUGAUGCAGCAACGCCGCGUGAAGGAAGAAGGUCUUCGGAUCGUAAACUUCUGUCCUUGGGGAAGAUAAUGACGGUACCCUUGGAGGAAGCCCCGGCUAACUACGUGCCAGCAGCCGCGGUAAUACGGAGGAUGCGAGCGUUAUCCGGAUUUAUUGGGUUUAAAGGGUGCGUAGGCGGGCUUUUAAGUCAGCGGUAAAAAUUCGGGGCUCAACCCCGUCCGGCCGUUGAAACUGGGGGCCUUGAGUGGGCGAGAA